GUUUGAUCCUGGCUCAGAUUGAACGCUGGCGGCAGGCCUAACACAUGCAAGUCGAGCGGUAGAGAGAAGCUUGCUUCUCUUGAGAGCGGCGGACGGGUGAGUAAUGCCUAGGAAUCUGCCUGGUAGUGGGGGAUAACGUUCGGAAACGGACGCUAAUACCGCAUACGUCCUACGGGAGAAAGCAGGGGACCUUCGGGCCUUGCGCUAUCAGAUGAGCCUAGGUCGGAUUAGCUAGUUGGUGAGGUAAUGGCUCACCAAGGCGACGAUCCGUAACUGGUCUGAGAGGAUGAUCAGUCACACUGGAACUGAGACACGGUCCAGACUCCUACGGGAGGCAGCAGUGGGGAAUAUUGGACAAUGGGCGAAAGCCUGAUCCAGCCAUGCCGCGUGUGUGAAGAAGGUCUUCGGAUUGUAAAGCACUUUAAGUUGGGAGGAAGGGUUGUAGAUUAAUACUCUGCAAUUUUGACGUUACCGACAGAAUAAGCACCGGCUAACUCUGUGCCAGCAGCCGCGGUAAUACAGAGGGUGCAAGCGUUAAUCGGAAUUACUGGGCGUAAAGCGCGCGUAGGUGGUUUGUUAAGUUGGAUGUGAAAUCCCCGGGCUCAACCUGGGAACUGCAUUCAAAACUGACUGACUAGAGUAUGGUAGAGGGUGGUGGAAUUUCCUGUGUAGCGGUGAACUGCGAAGAUAUAGGGAGGGAACACCGGUGGCGAGAGCGACCACGUGGACUAAUACUCACGGUGAUGUGCGAAAGUGUGGUCAGCAAACUUGAUCACAUACGCUGGGAGUCCACGCCGAGAGAGGAUGUCUUCUAGACGGUGGAUCCCUUGAGCUUUUACUGCUGCAGCUCACUACAUAAGUUAACCGACUGCCGACUACGUCGGCAAGCUAGUACUCAUCUGGAGUGACUGGCGAGCGCACGGCGUGUAUCUAUCUUUUAUUUAAUCAACGCGACGAGCGUUACCGGACUUGACUCGAAAUGCCGCACGUACUAAUAUAAGCCGUGCGCGACAGGAACAAUGAGCAGAUGCUGUACUGGCGUCGCAUAGCUAAGUAGGAAAUUAAGCUCACUCGUUAACAGAGUAGCGUUACUAAAUACAACCUUACCAGACGCAGUAAGAGUAGUAUAUCCUCGGUCUUUCACAUCAUGCGAU
This 1154-nucleotide ribosomal RNA is filed under the name uncultured bacterium. Its description in RNAcentral is "bacterial SSU rRNA". The stretch from base 1 to 869 matches the Rfam family "Bacterial small subunit ribosomal RNA", at positions 11 to 873 of the family's 1533-position model. The record is from RNAcentral.